UCUUUCAGCGAAAACUCAGGGUGUGAUGGA
Molecule: non-coding RNA, 30 nt
Filed under: Homo sapiens (human)
Lineage: Eukaryota; Metazoa; Chordata; Mammalia; Primates; Hominidae
Source: RNAcentral